This 819-nucleotide long non-coding RNA is filed under the name Homo sapiens (human). RNAcentral's name for it is "long intergenic non-protein coding RNA 2669". Lineage: Eukaryota; Metazoa; Chordata; Mammalia; Primates; Hominidae. The record is from RNAcentral.
AUACUUGGAGGCCAUGUCACCUGAGAGUCAAUGGGCAACGAUCAAAUUUCACCUUGAGCAGAUUCUUUUGUUUGCUUUUUAGUCACAAAUAGCUUGGCCCUAAGUGGUGGCUCCCAUUCUUGUAAGAUGCGUUUAUUCAUCGUGUAAUCACCAGUUCCCUGUAGUGGGGGCGUGGAUGGAGUGUCAGAGGCUCCUGCUGGUCUUUAGGGUGUCUGGCCUCCAGGAAUCCUAGAGUAAAUUGGGAACUACAGCACUCGAUGUUAGAGUUGUCGUGAAGAUUAAAGAAGGUGACGACUGGACAACUCCCAGCCCAAUACCUGAAACUGUACCAGCACCCAGUGAGCACUGCUAUUCCUGUGACUGCUGCACAUUUGCCUUAUCUCAGCAGUAUGCCUGUGUCACUUUUUUGGCACUCUUUUCUCAUGGGUACAUUCAGAGAAGAGGAAUGUUUGUUCACUGGUGAAGAGAACAUCCCGUGUACUAUCGUGUAGAAGUUGUAGUAGACGCUGUGGUCUUUCCAACAACAAACAAAUGAUGUUUAAGGCAAAUGUGCCCAGGAUGGACACAGCCGGAUGGACGUGAAAGCCUCCAGAGCCCAGAGUAUGAGAAACAGCGUUCCCGUGUGGGCAGCAGGUUCACAGAAGACAGAACAGAUGCCUGAAGGGGAAAGGGCAGAACCCUCCAGAAAGGGCUGGAAUCGCAGGAAAAGACCUCUUGGAUUCCUGCCUCAACUGCUUACAAUUCCAAUUUGGUUUUUUUUGUUUUUUUUUCUUUACAGCUGGGGGUGGAGGAGAUAAAAAUGCUAAAUGAAGCUGAAAA